Molecule: long non-coding RNA, 1003 nt
Filed under: Marmota monax (woodchuck)
Lineage: Eukaryota; Metazoa; Chordata; Mammalia; Rodentia; Sciuridae
Source: RNAcentral
CAGAUCCGCCUUACUCUGGUCUACUCUUUCUAUUGAGGCAGAUUGCCUCUUCCCCAACACUUCCCAGUUGUCCUUGACCUCUCUCAUGUCACCCCACCCAUCCCACCCUACCUCAGAGACACUGAGCUGACGUCACUCACCCUGUAAUGCCUCUCAUACUGCAGCUCUCAAAAGGUCAUAGGGGCAACUUCCAGUCCCAGACAAGGGCAAUAAAGAUGUUAGGAGGACACUUCCCACCUUUCCCAUCCUGAGCAAUGUUCAUAGGCAGAGGCAGGAACAGUCCUUUGGCUCUGUGAAAGUACGUAUGUGUAUAAGUUUGUGAGUGAAUGACAUGUGUGCUCAUGUAGUUGUAUGAUUGUGUCUGACUGGGUACGUGGUUGUGCAGCCUGUGUGAUUGUGCCUGGGACUUGGUCUCGGUGUUCAGAAGCUGCAGACAGGAGACAGCUCCUCACUUAAAUUUGGUGGCUUGUUAGCCUCUUCCUCCUCUUCCAAGGUCCCAUAUCUGGGGAGAUCUUGCCUGGGAUCAACCUGGCUUCUCAGAUGCUGGCAGAGUGAGGUAAUGUGUGUUGAUAGUCUUUCUGUUCUCAUCACAUUUCUAUCUUGUCCCUGUCACUACUCCUCCUACCUACAUGCCUUUGAGCUGGGUCCUCUGGCAGCCCCUACUUUGCCCAUCCCUGGUUUCCUUGACGACCAGAAGCUGGUCAGACGUGUUACUCAGCAUCUGGGCCAGCUAGUUCCCUGCAGGUCCUAAGGCAGUGGGGGAAAAAUGUGAACUUUGAAGUCAGAAGGACCUAGAAUUCUAUGUGGGCAAAACACUGCCCGCCCGCCCUCAUUCAGACAGUGGGUGCCAUACCUCAAGGUGUCAUGGAGAAGGCAAGUGGAGAGCAGCCUGCCAGGUGCAGGCAUGCAGGAGGUCCCAAGGAACUGUCUUCUCUUUAUCUGCUGCCAUGUUGCAAGACCAGCUGAUACUCCUGCCCCGGCAGCCUUCCACCUACCCCUUCCC